AGUCGAACGGCAGCACGGGAGCAAUCCUGGUGGCGAGUGGUGAACGGGUGAGUAAUAUAUCGGAACGUGCCCAGUCGUGGGGGAUAACGUAGCGAAAGCUACGCUAAUACCGCAUACGAUCUAUGGAUGAAAGCGGGGGAUCGCAAGACCUCGCGCGAUUGGAGCGGCCGAUAUCAGAUUAGGUAGUUGGUGGGGUAAAGGCCCACCAAGCCGACGAUCUGUAGCUGGUCUGAAAGGACGACCAGCCACACUGGGACUGAGACACGGCCCAGACUCCUACGGGAGGCAGCAGUGGGGAAUUUUGGACAAUGGGCGCAAGCCUGAUCCAGCAAUGCCGCGUGCAGGAUGAAGGCCUUCGGGUUGUAAACUGCUUUUGUACGGAACGAAACGGCGAGCUCUAAUACAGUUUGCUAAUGACGGUACCGUAAGAAUAAGCACCGGCUAACUACGUGCCAGCAGCCGCGGUAAUACGUAGGGUGCAAGCGUUAAUCGGAAUUACUGGGCGUAAAGCGUGCGCAGGCGGUUAUAUAAGACAGAUGUGAAAUCCCCGGGCUCAACCUGGGAACUGCAUUUGUGACUGUAUAGCUAGAGUACGGUAGAGGGGGAUGGAAUUCCGCGUGUAGCAGUGAAAUGCGUAGAUAUGCGGAGGAACACCGAUGGCGAAGGCAAUCCCCUGG
This 677-nucleotide ribosomal RNA is filed under the name uncultured Curvibacter sp. RNAcentral's name for it is "bacterial SSU rRNA". It matches the Rfam family "Bacterial small subunit ribosomal RNA", at positions 60 to 732 of the family's 1533-position model. The record is from RNAcentral. Lineage: Bacteria; Pseudomonadati; Pseudomonadota; Betaproteobacteria; Burkholderiales; Comamonadaceae.